RNAcentral lists this ribosomal RNA (519 nucleotides) under Triticum aestivum (bread wheat). RNAcentral describes it as "partial small subunit ribosomal RNA". Lineage: Eukaryota; Viridiplantae; Streptophyta; Magnoliopsida; Poales; Poaceae. The record is from RNAcentral.
AUGCCGAUCGCGGGCCGGCGAGUGCUGGUGCGCUGCGUGCUCUCUGCACUGCCAGCCUUCGCCCUUGCAGUCCUGCGCGCCCUGAAGAAAUUCCACAAAGAGGUGGACAAAGCAAGACGCCGAUUUCUUUGGGCCCAGGAUGAGGAAAUCUCCGGCGGGAAGUGCAUGGUCAACUGGAAGCUUGUAACCUCGCUGGUGGAUCGCGGUGGGCUUGACAUUCCAGACAUGGAGCGUUUUGCGCGCGCACUCCGCCUGCGUUGGCUUUGGCUCGCAUGGAAGCACCCGGACAUGCCGUGGGUAGGCACGGGUUCGCCGUGCGAUGACAAGGAUAGGGAGUUGUUCGCCUCUGAAACCAGGGUCGCCAUAGGAAACGGAAGAAAGGCCACGUUCUGGAACCGCACCUGGCUCGGCGACCAACCGCUCAAGCUACGGUUCCCGCUGCUGUUCGCCAACUCAUCCAGGAAGAACCGAAUGGUGGCUGAAGCACUCCAGGGCGACAGAUGGAUCCUCGAUCUUUAG